Molecule: long non-coding RNA, 2937 nt
Filed under: Homo sapiens (human)
Lineage: Eukaryota; Metazoa; Chordata; Mammalia; Primates; Hominidae
Description: HSALNT0214223
Source: RNAcentral
AUUUCUCUUAUUUUCUUACUUCUUACAUCCAACCCACCGUAAAAUGUUGUUGAUUAUACCCCCAAAUCUAUAGAAUCACUCCAACAUGACCCAAAUCUGGGUCAUCAUAAUCUUUCUCUACUAUUGGGAUAGACUUAACAAGUCACCGUGUUUUCACUCUUGUCACUUUGUAAUCAAUUAUUCCUUGAGCAGCCAGAGUGAACUUGAACUUUUAUAAAUGAAAAUGCUUCCUGGAAGCAUAAAGGAAAAUUUGCUCCAUUGGACAAGAGCUGGUCAAGCUUCCUCGUGUGUCACAAUUGCUACCAUGCCAUUGGCCAACACAUGCGUGAGUCCAAGCCCAAAACAGACAGGAGGGGCACACCGAGCAUACAAAAGGAAUUACGGAUACCUUUUGUUUGAAUGUUAGGACCCUUAUGCUAGCUCAGGGAUUGGUAAACUACAGCUUGAGAGCCAAAUCAAGCCCACUGCCUGAUUUCGUAAAUAACAUUUUGUUGGAACACGGCAGCACACACUUAUUUUUGUAUGUUUGAUGGCUAAUUUUGUGCUACAACAGCAGAAUUGAGUGGUUGUGACAGAUACUGUCCCGUCACAAAAUAUUUCCUAUCUUGCUCUUUAUAGAAAUAGUUUGCCAGCGUCUGCGAUGGCUGGCCCCUCUAUCUGUAGUGCAGUUCCCUCAACUCUGCAUAGUUUUUUUUUCUUUUUUCUUCAUUUUAUUCGGAUUCCUGGCAAAAUAUAUUGCCCUAUAGAGAUUUGGUUGAACAGUCAAUAUAAAGCUACUCUCUAUCCACUAUCUAAUUUAAAUCUAUGCAUAGGAUAUUUAAUUAUAUACUUGUAUGUUACAUUUAACAUUUUAAUUAUUCAUUUAUCUAUGUAUUAUCUCUUCUUCUUGAAAUGUAAGUUCUCCUACAGAAGAAAGUUUUUGGUCUUCAUAACUUCUUAUAACAAUGCCAGACACAUAGGAGAUUCUCAAGAAAUAUCUAUUGAAUUAAUGGAUAAAUAAAUAGAAUGAACAUAACAACCAUCUCAGAGGACACAUGCUGCUUUAAUCCAAGUGACUUCUUUAGGUAUGUAUUAAAGAAGCAAUAUAGGAGGCAAAAUAAUUAAUUAAAUGAUAAUUUGAAUAAACAAAUUGGUUAACUGAUAAACUAAACAGAUUCCCAAAUUCCGGAAAUGUCUGGAAAUUUAACACCAUAAUGAAAGUUAGAAAUGCUCUCACAGGCACCUUAAAAUGUUUGCUAAAAGUUUGCUUCAGUCAUUUAAAACAUGGUAAGGUAACAGGCAUCAAGUCCAGAUUCAGUGGCUCUUCAACUUAAUUGAAAGUGAAAUCCUCUUGAUGUAGAGAAUCAAUCUGCAAAUCAACAGCUGACCUAGGUGGCUCAGAUUCACAGACAUUGACAAAAUGUCAAAGUGACAGUAAAAUCAUCUUGGCUUUCACGUAUGUCCUGAGCUGUGAUAGAUUUGAGUCAUUUAAUUGUUACACUGUUAAGCCCUGAGGUAAAAUCAUUGACUCCAAAGCAGUAGAUCUAUUCCAAAGAACGCAAUCUGGAAAAGCAAGUCACGCUUUCUGUUCAAGAAUACUAUAAAAGUUUAGUCUCACUGUGCACAAAAUGAGCUAGGCUGUAACUCAUUUAUUCAUUCAUUCAUUCAUCUGGCUUAAACAUCAAAAACACAGAUGUAGAAGAACAUUCCUGCCUCUAAAUAUAUUUGAACCACAGAUUGUUGACAGCUUAGCAUCAUAUUCUCUCCCUUUUGUAUUUUCCUCUGCAAUUGAAGAAAAUUAAAUAACAUACGUGGUUGGUAAAAGAACGUGACAUGCAUGCCAGAGCUGAGUGAGAAGCUAAAACAAAUCAAGAAUCCUGCCAUUUUGGUGAAGUUUCUAGGUAUGUGGUGAUGUGGGGCAUGUCACACAUUUUGAAGAAGAUAUCUUCUUCAAAAUGAGGGAUAGAUGCUGAAAUUUCCAAUCUCAUUGCUGAGCAAGAGGCACAAUGCUUGAUAUUUUUGGAGUGUAUGUAGGGAACAUGUAUUUUGGUGUGGUGAAUAAUCACUUAUACUAUGAGAAGCAAGAGAAGAUUCUGAACUAGGCUAAGACUCAGUGAACAUUGAUUUUUCAUUUAGGCCUUGCUAUGGUUUGAAUGUGUCCUCCCUAAAGCAUGUGUUGAAAACAUAAUCCCCAAUGCAAUAGUGCUGAGAAGUGGGGUCUAUUGAGAGGUGUUGAGGUCAUGUGGGCUCAGCCACCUUUGAUGGAUUAAUGCUGAUUACAAAAGGGCUUAAGGCAUCUAGUUCUGUCUCUCUUUCCCUCACAUGUUCCUAUUCUCACAUGUGUGCACAUGUUCCUAUUCUCUUGCCCUUCUGCCUUCUGCAUGAGAUGGCACAGCAAGCAAGGCCUCACCAGAGAUGGGCCCCUCAACUUUGCACUUCUCAGCCUCCAGAAUUGUAAGCCAAAUAAAUGUCUGUUCCAGUCUCAAAUAUUCUGUUACAUCAGCCCAAAGCAGUCUUAAACAAGUCUUAUAACCAGGAGAUUCACUGGUGGUCAGUGUGACCCAAGCAGAUGUGGAUCCUUCUGUCAAGCCACAAUUGUGGGAUCACAGGGCACACUCCCUCUUCUGAAUAUGAUUUUACUGCGAAACUUUUGUUACAUAGCAUCUGGCAUACUGCCAGGUCCUGGUUAAGAUUAAUCUUUGUCUCAGAGAUACCAAGCUUAUGGAAAAUGAGCUGUCCAUCAAGAAUGGAGUGUUAUCUGAUCUAAUCUACAAAACUAUAGACUUGGCCAUGGCAACAGAAUUUCAUCGCCAAAGUAGAAAUCAUAUAUAUGGUGUUGGGUUUCACUAGAUACUAUAGACAGAAGUAAGUUGCAUGCCUUAGAUUUCUAUGGUUCCUAAACCACCAAAAUCGCCAUCUUUUCUUCUAUCCAUACGUAAUGUGACCUUGGGAAUUUUC